This 116-nucleotide ribosomal RNA is filed under the name Escherichia coli. RNAcentral's name for it is "partial 16S ribosomal RNA". It matches the Rfam family "Bacterial small subunit ribosomal RNA", at positions 1 to 107 of the family's 1533-position model. Lineage: Bacteria; Pseudomonadati; Pseudomonadota; Gammaproteobacteria; Enterobacterales; Enterobacteriaceae. The record is from RNAcentral.
UUAAAUUGAAGAGUUUGAUCAUGGCUCAGAUUGAACGCUGGCGGCAGGCCUAACACAUGCAAGUCGAACGGUAACAGAAAGCAGCUUGCUGCUUUGCUGACGAGUGGCGGACGGGU